Molecule: long non-coding RNA, 31473 nt
Filed under: Musa acuminata (dwarf banana)
Lineage: Eukaryota; Viridiplantae; Streptophyta; Magnoliopsida; Zingiberales; Musaceae
Description: long non-coding RNA (MACU_LNC000169)
Source: RNAcentral
UUCUUCAUCUUCCAGCUUUUACAUCAAAUCCCAAUUUGUUCUCUAAACUGUGGUACCCGACAGAAUCCAAGGUAGAGCUCAUAGAUGAUUCACCAAGCAAUGCUUCACAUUCCUCGGCUGCAUGGUGUGUCGAAGAGACCUGUAGGAACCCUUCUAACAUAUGCAGUUUUUCGGCCAAUUCUCUCAUUGAAGGCCUUUCAUCCCCAUUCAUGUUCAAACAUUCCUUUGCAAGCUCGGCAAUUUCUUGGAUGACAUCCAUGUUUUCUUUUCCCAUGAUUUGAUCAUCCAAUAUCUCUUCAAGUCGGCUAUCUUUCAUUGCUUCGAUGAAGCUUGAGGCAAGACAUUUUCCUUGACUACUCCCAUCGUAAUAAAUUGCCUUUAUCCUUGUGAUGAGCUCCAUCAAAACUACUCCAAAGCUAUAUACAUCACUCUUUGCUGUUAGUUGUCGAACUAACAAGUACUCUGGGUCCAAAUAACCAAGAGUUCCCUGGACCAUCGUUAUGAAUUGAGUUUCGUCUAAAGACAUCAUCCUCGAUGCACCGAAAUCCGAUACCUUUGGCACGUAGUUAUGAUCUAGAAGUAUGUUGAGCGACUUCACAUCUCCAUGAAUGAUCGGUGGGGAUGCCGAUGAAUGCAAGUAAGCGAGUGCCUCUGCGGAUUCUCUGGCUAUUCGUAGACGAAUAGUCAAGGGAAUUAGUUUCCCAUCGUUAUCAUGGAUGAACUCGAAGAGGGUUCCGUUGGGGAUGAACUCAUAAACCAACAUAGGAAUUUCUACUUCCAAGCAACAACCCAAGAGCCUUACAAUGUUCUUGUGAUUGAUCUGAGAAAGAAUAAUCAUCUCCCGUACGAAUUCUUCACUUUGGUCCUCGGUGACUACCUUAGACCUCUUGAUGGCCACUUCCCUGCCAUCGUCUAGGUAUCCUUUGUAAACGGUGCCAUGGCCUCCUCGCCCAAGUUCUCGACUCUUGUCGAAAUUAUCUGUUGCUUUCUCUAUAUCCUCUUUGGUGUAUAUUUUGACAGUAUCAAUUUGCUUUGAUCUGAUUUCUUCGUAUAACCUCAAACCACCAUUUUGUUGGAAGAAUUUAUCUUUUUCUCUAAGAAGCUUCCUUCUUUGAAACGUUAAGAUUACGCAGAAGAUACAAGUAAUGAACGAAACAAGCCCAACACAACUGCCUGCACAAAGGGAUGAGUUUCAUAUCAAUUAUUUUGCAAACUCUUUCGGAGAUCGAAUUCCAAGUUUCCAAAAUAGUAGAUUGUUACUGACGAGGCCUAUUAAUGAAGAUCAAAAGGAUAAGAAAUUUCAAGCUUUUUUUAAAGUAGGAUGACUUGAUCGAAAUAAAAACUCGAAUCCGAAUAGAUUAUUUUUUUCUUCUGAUUCAAGUUUUAAGAGAAGGUUUAAGCUAAUACGGAAGGAAGGAUGAGAACUUGUACCUAUAACAAUCUUCGUUGAUGUCGGAAUUCCGUGAUCUUGGACGCAUGGUUCCGAUUUAGGGUCCUUGCUGCUGUGACCUUUUGGGCAAGAGCACCUGUAGUUGCCUGCUGUGUUGCUGCACGUUCCAUGACAUGGAUACUGCGUUGGUAAGCUGCACUCGUCGAUAUCUAAGGAUUGUCAAAGAAUCACGAGGGAAAAUUGUAAGACCACAUACAACAAUCGAAAAUAGGAGAGUUGGGGGAGAGAUGCAUGCUGACCUUUGCAUCCAUCUUGGAGGUAAGGAUUGCCAUGGAAACCUGUGGAGCAAUUGCAGAUAUAGCCAUCUAAACUGGUGGAGUCGAAACAUUUACUGUUGGUGCUGCGGCAUGCAUAUGAAGAAGGGUUUCUCUUAGCCUCCGCGCAGGUCUGUCUGCCGGCUACCCAGUCCAGCACGAGUGGGACGCCGUCCUUGUACUUGUCAUAAAAGUUGUAGUUGCGGAGGUAGGACUCGUCGAAGGCGAACCCGUCCUGGUCGGCAACGAAGGUAAAAGUGCAGGGGAUGUAGUCCCUGUAGGAUGAAGAAACAUUAAUGAAAUAGGCCAUCCCGGUCGUAAAAUUUUCCAGCUUCUCCGGGAUGGUGGUCUGGCAGCAGCCGGUGCCAGAGCACGAUCCGCUUGUGAUGUUUGCCCCUCCGAAGCAGAAGGAGGCGCACCCGGUUCCUAAUGAAUAGUUGUCCCCGCCUAUGACGAUGCCAAUGACGUUGCAGCCCAUGGUCGUGAACCUGUUCUUGGUGCUGGAUACCCAAAAUGGUUUGUCGCCAAGGUCUAGAGUAGGUCUUCGACCAGCCACCCAGUCGUUGGUACUGUUGAAACAAUCCCAGCUAACGUAAUUCAGGAUGCGUGCUUGGCCCUGCGGCAAGAUUAUCUCCUCAACUGUAAUGUUCCUCUCGCGGCCGACCAAGAAAGCUCUGGGAGUCGCAGAGCCGUUACCGACUUCGCAAGUGACCUCGAAGCCUUCCCUGAAACACCCAUCGCCGAUGCCGAAGGGGUACGGGAUGCUAAUACCGCCGCAUGUCUCAUUGCAACGGGGUGACACCACGUUCGGCGACGGUGGCGCCGAUGCUGCUGCAGUCGUUGCUGCUUGCAGCAGCGUCAACAACAACAACAGCUGAAACGCGAACAGUGGCAGCGUGGAUCCCAUUGCUUAUGCUUGCUUGAAAUUGAUGGUACCCUUCAGGCUUCCAUCAGAUUUAUAAGCCAACAGAUGGCGUAGCGUGCUUAAUUCCUUCUAAAAUCGAGUGGCAUAUAAUAAUUGCUUGAUCCAAUACUCGUUCUGCAGCCCAAGUGAAGACUUAUCAAGACGAAGCCAUGACACGGCAAAUACAAGAAGACCCUGUCGCUUGGAAAACUGGACAGUGACUUGUACAGAUCCCGUCUAAGUCUUCUUUUAAGAUUACAGAAAGUUGGAGCUGUGAUCGGUACAGGAGGCCUCCUCGCAGUUUGACUCUGGAAUCCACACCCAACCGAAGACUUGCUUGCUUAAUCCAAAUACAAAUAAGUAACGCCAAUUUUUCAGUAACAGCCCCCCUUCCUCUCUCUCUCUCUCUCUCUCUCUCUCUCUCUCUGUACACGAGGCGCUUCCGGCGUCAUUUGGCCGCUGAUUCCCUACGUGACUUGGGAUCAACGGUUGAAUAGUGAAGUACAAGGAGAGCAGCGACUGCGUGUUUGGAACUAAAUCUAGCAGCUUAUGGAGGGCUCGGUCUUUCUCCUGGUUUGGAUUUGUGUUCUUUCUUUAUGCCGAAAGGAAUCAGUUUGGAUAUGCAUGGGAUGUAAGCUUCUUGUUAUUUUUGUCUUGAUGUCAGCUUCAAGAUAAGAGCUGUAGAGGAGAAGAAUAGAGAAACUUCAAAUUAAUUUUUUUUUUAUUGAACAUCAUUGCUUAUAAUUUAACGUACCGUUGAAUAUUUAGAUUUUACUUAUUUAUUUUAUUUGGCUCUACCUCAUUUCCCCUUCCUUUUUCUUAUUAUUUGUAGAGUAUAAUAUUACAUUAGCAAUCUAUUUCCACUACAUUUGACUUCAACUACCACAAAAAACCUAUCUUAGAUGAGACUCUUAAAUCAAUAUCUUAUCUAACCAUAAAGUUUAAGAAAAUAUUCCAAUACUCCUUUCAAACUAGAGUUUUACAUAGAAAAAGAAAUAUAUGUAUUACAAUCCAUCAUACCAAUAGUCAAUGAUAAGAAGAAGGUACUUUAAGUGCCCUUAGAUUUUGUUUUAAUUAUGGCAACCUAAAACAUCAAUAGAGUGGGCCACAUGAUCGGUAUGAUGUCACGAUAGUAAUGUUCAAUGGUUCAGACGAUUCAUCACACUCAGACAACCUUAAUUAUUCUAUAAAUAAACUCCGGCUUAUUUAUGAUGGACAGACACUAUAGAAUCAUAUAUAAAAAAGCUCUUGAAACCCUAUGAAUUCUACAUUACUGUUCCCCAGCAUUACUAACUUAAAGCAUAUGCACGCCCUCCAUUUACAGACGAGGUCAGACUUGUCGAAGGAGAACCCUAAUGAAGUCAUAGGUGCGGGGGGUGUAGUCAUCGUAGGAAGAUAGAUCGACGAAAUAGGCCGACCAGGUCGUCAAAUAAUAGUCCGGUUUCGCCAGGAUGGUUGUCUUUUAGCAGCCGGUGCCAUGGCAGUGAAGAAUAUUUAUUGAAGAAAUGAAAAAUGCUUCAAUACAAGAAGAAGGAUUUCCCUCAACAGAAUAGAGGAUUUUUCUCAACAGAAUAGAGAGAUUUAUCUUAAAUAAUGGUUUACGAGCGAUGUAAAUAAUAGUUUACGAGCAAGAGGCUUUGUGAGGAUUAGUCACGGAGCCUCUUAGGAAUUUGGCUGCAGUGACGUUGGUCGCUGGCCGAAGGCAAGAGCGAAGCUUGCUUUUCUCAACAACGUCGAUUGCCUGGCCGAAGACAAGAGCAAAGCUUCGCUUUUUUCACUGCUCUAAUACCAUGAAAAAAAUAAUAGAAGAUAAGAACAAUUAUUGAAGAAGUGAAGAAUAUUUAUUGAAGAAAUAAAAAAUGCUUCAAUACAUUAAUAUUUCCCUCUCCUAUUUAUAGAGAUUGAGGAAGGAUAACGGUUUAAAUGAUCACGCGAUGUCAUUCAGGAUAUGUCCUUAUCUGUAAUGUUCCUCUUGCCGCCGCCCAAGAAAGCUCUGGGAGUUGCAGAGCCGUUAACCACAUCGCAAGUGACCUCGAAGCCUUCCCUGAAACACCCAUCGCCGAUGCCGAAGGGGUACGGGAUGCUAAUAACGCAGCAUGUCUCUUUGCAAUGUGGUAACAACUCGUUGGAAGCUGAAGCUGUGAUUGGUGUAGACCUUUCCGAAGACCCUAUGAAGUCUACAUCAUGACUCUUCCCCAGCAUUGCUAACUUAAAGCAUAUGCACGCCCUGCAUUUUUAUAUGAUCCCUGCCGAACCCUCACGCUCUCUUAUACCAAACUUAUGAUAGACUCAAAUGCAAACAAGGUUGACUUCCACAGACUGACAAUCGAACAAACAGGGAUUGUUAUUUGUUCCACAUCAAGUAGUGCUAUUUGUUCUAUUCCAACAACAACAGGUAGUGCAUUGAUCUCAUUUAUUAGAACCAAAAUGUUGGAUAACAUGUAUGUAUAAAUGUGGUUUACUUCCAUGCUAUUGAAUUUUGGAGUAAGAGAUGCCAAAUCUAUAUAUAUAUAUAUAAAUACUUGCCAAAGAUUGUUCCUAUUGAUGUUAACAUAUGUUUUUAAAUUCAUUAAUUAACUAUAAUUUUCUAUUAAAACCACAAAUUUUUCUUAUUUUCAAAUAUUUUAUUUUAUUGAUAAAUCCUAUGCAUACCUUUUAAAAAUUUUAUUAUAUGAAAAAUAUAAGUACUAAUAUGGAAUUAAUGCCCUGGCCGAUAACUCAACAACACGUAGGUGAUAAAUGAUAGACCCAUCGAUAGUUCGAGACUAUAUAUAUAAUGUGUGGCCGACAUCUUGACACCACAAAGGUGGCAAGCGUCAACACCAUGUUGACGACAAGUGGUUGACAUGCCGACAACCUAAGGUCACGUAGACAACACACGAUGGACACCUCGACAUUUGGACUAAGUUUGAAUAAUCAAUGUGUGUCUUGCAUUUGGCGCAUCAUGACACCAAGACCCUAAUUAUAUUUGAUGAUCUUGAAAGUAAUGAUCCUUAGAGUCCAUCGUAAAAGGGACUCCAUAAAAGGAACUCUCUUCAAGUGCUCAUCCAAACUAUCCGAGUCCAAAAUUGACUUGAGUAUCAGAGGAGCAUUCGUCAAGAAUAAUCUCGAUGUAAUUUUAUAAGUUUGACACCUAUAGAGUCAGUAAUAACUAGAAUUUAUGAUGAGACUAACAUGGGAAGGAGCAUCGGCUUUGAAUCCAUUUUAGAUCAAACAAUUAAAAAUUACACUAAUAGUUUGACGCUAGAAGGAAGGUUUGAGAUGUUUAAGAAAAACUUUACUACAUCAUCUCAACUAAAUCUUGAAGAUCCAAACCCGACUGAACUGAUCGAUAGUCAAACCUACUGCACCCGCCUUUCAAAUGCUCGAACCAUUGGUCUUCCAUCAAUUGUUCUACGAUUCGGUGGCUAUAUAUAUAUAAUUUUUUUUAUAAAAAUUAAAAACAAAAUUUAUUAUAUGAAAUGACGUAUAUAUUGCUCACACAUGGAUUCAAGUUUGAAAUCUAUUACAUGUACAAUAAUGUACUAAUCAACUCAGAUAUUUCAACAAAAAAUAAAAGAAUUAAUUAUAUUGCUUACUGUAAUAAGUAUGUAAAUAAUUUAAGAGAAUAUGUUAUUUAUAUAACAUGUGAGAUUUUUAAGGGGUUUGGAAAAAUUAUAGAUCAUACUAUUGUAUUUUACUCGUAUUGUAACAAUUUUUUUAUUUUUUUCAAACGAAAUUGGUCACCCCAAUUCUCUUUUUUUUGUAAAAAAAAACUCGAUCACCCUCUUUUAAAUAAAAAAGAGAGAAUAAAAAAUUGAUACAGUCAAAUCAAAUUGGCAAUUGAGAUUGAAAGCGGAAGUGUGAUGUAUGGUUUUUUGAGGAACCUUCGCCACCCAUAUAAAUAGGUAUUCAGAUUAUGCAUACCAAUGGACGUGAGGUUAACUUGGGAUCAACCGUUGAAUAGUCAACGACAAGGAUAGCCACUUCAAACUAAAUCUCUUGGCUUCAUUUACCUCUACAUUUAUCUCCUCCUCUCUUCUUCUUGUUAUUUCUAAAUUAGUAUUUCAUGAGCCAUCUAUUUUCACUACUUUGAUUUCAACUACCACAAAUAAUCUUAUCUUAAAUAGGACUCUUAAAUCAAUAUCAGAUCUAAUCAUAAAGCUUAAGUUAAUAUUCCAAUACUUCCUUUAAACUCGAGUUUUACAUAGAAAAAGAAAUACAAAUUACAAUACUGAGAGUUACAAUCCAUUAUAAAUUUAUUUAUCAUGCUUGUAAUAGAAGUAACAUAAGUUACAAAACAAGUAACCAAGAACAGUCUGUUCUGCUAGUUCGAUUUUAACAUAGAGAGAGAACAUAGUUUCUUUAUCUGCUUCAUCUUCCAGCUUUUACAUCAAAUCCCAAUUUGUUCUCUAAACUGUGGUACCCGACAGAAUCCAAGGUAGAGCUCAUAGAUGAUUCACCAAGCAAUGCUUCACAUUCCUCGGGUGCAUGGUGUGUUGAAGAGACCUGUAGGAACCCUCCUAACAUAUGCAGUUUCUCAGCCACUUCUCUCAUCGUAGGCCUUUCAUCCCCAUUCAUGUUCAAACAUUCCUUUGCAAGCUCGGCAAUUUCGUGGAUGACAUCCAUGUUUUCUUUUCCCAUGAUUUGAUCAUCCAAUAUCUCUUCAAGUCGGCUGUCUUUCAUUGCUUCGAUGAAGCUUGAAGCAAGAGCUUUUCCUUGAUUGCUCCCAUCAUAAUAAAUUGCCUUUUUCCUUGUGACGAGCUCCACCAAAACUACUCCAAAGCUAUAGACAUCACUCUUUGCUGUCAGUUGACGGACUAGCAAGUACUCUGGGUCCAAAUAACCAAGAGUUCCCUGGACCAUCGUUAUGAAUUGGGUUUCGUCUAUAGAUAUCAUCCUCGAUGCACCAAAAUCCGAUACCUUUGGCACGUAGUUAUGAUCUAGAAGUAUAUUGAGCGACUUCACAUCUCCAUGAACGAUCGGAGGGGAUGCUGAUGAAUGCAAGUAAGCGAGUGCUUCUGCAGAUUCUCUGGCUAUUCGUAGACGAGUAGUCAAGGGAAUUAGUUUCUCAUUAUUGUCAUGGAUGAAGUCGAAGAGGGUUCCAUUGGGUAUGAACUCAUAAACCAACAUGGGAAUUUCGACUUCCAAGCAACAACCCAAGAGCCUUACAAUAUUCUUGUGAUUGAUCUGAGAAAGAAUAAUCAUCUCCCGUACGAAUUCUUCACUUUGGUCCUCGGUGACUACCUUAGACCUCUUGAUGGCCACUUCCCUACCAUCGUCUAGGUAUCCUUUGUAAACGGUGCCAUGGCCUCCUCGCCCAAGUUCUCGACUCUUAUCGAAAUUAUCCGUUGCCUUCUCUAGAUCCUCUUUAGUGUAUAUUUUGACAGUGUCGAUUUUCUUUGAUCUGAUUUCUUCAUAUAACCUCAAGCCUCCAUUUUGCUGGAAGAAUUUAUCUUUUUCUCUAAGAAGCUUCCUUCUUUGAAACGCUAAGAUUAUGCAGAAGAUACAAGUAAUGAACGAGACAAUCCCAACACAACUGCCUGCACAAAGGGAUGAGUUUUCAAAAUAGAAGAUUGUUACCGACGAGGCCUAUUAACGAAAUUUAAAAGGAUAAGAAAUUUCAAGCUUUUUUUAAGAAGGAUGACUUAAUCGAAAUAAAAACUCAGAUUAUUUUUUUCUUCUGAUUGAAGUUUUAAGAGAAGGUUUAAAGCUAAUACGGAAGGAAGGAUGAGAACUUGUACCUAUAACAAUCUUCGUUGAUGUCGGAAUUCCUUGAUCUCGGACACAAGGUUCCGAUUUAGGGUCCUUGCUGCUGUGACCUUUUGGGCAUGUGCAGCUGUAGUUGCCUAAUGUGUUGCUGCACUUUCCAUAACAUGGAUACUGAUUUGGUAAGCUGCACUCGUCGAUAUCUAAGGAUUGUCAAAGAAUCACAAGGAUAAAUUGUAAGACCAUAUACAACAAUCGAAAACAGGAGAGUUGGGGGAGAGAUGCAUGCUGACCUUUGCAUCCAUCUGGGAGGUAAGGAUUGCCUUGGAAACCUGUGGAGCAAUUGCAGAUAUAGCCAGGUAGACUGGUGGAGUCGAUACAGUCACUGUUGCUGCAUGCAAAUGAAGAAAGGUUUCUCUUAGCCUCCUCGCAGGUCUGGUUGCCGGCUACCCAGUCCAGCACGAGUGGGACGCCGUCCUUGUACUUGUCUCUAAAGGUGUGGUUGCGAAGGUCAGACUUGUUGAAGUAGAACCAGUCCGUGUCGGCAAUGAAGGCAUAGGAGCAGGGGCUGUAGUCCGUGUAGGAAGAAAUAUCGAAGAAAGUGGCAAACGUGACCGUAAAAUUGUCCAGCUUCUCCGGGAUGGUGGUCUCGCAGCAGCCGGCGCCAUGGCACGAUCCGAUUGCGAUGCUUGCCUCUUCGAAGCAGCCGGAGACGCACCCGGCUCCCAAUGUAUAGUUGUCCCCGCCUAUGAGGAUGCCAAUGACGUCGCAGCCCAUGGUCGUUAACUCGUUCCUCGUGCCGGAUACGCUAAACGGAAGGCCACUGAGGUUGAUUGAAGAUCCUUGAUCAUCCACCACGUCGCCGGUACUGUUGAAACAAAGCCAGGCGAUGUCAUUCAGCACGCUUGCUUGGCCCUGGAGCAAGGAUAUGUUCUGAACUGUAAUGUUCCUCUCGCUGCCGCCCAAGAAAGCUCUGGGAAUCGCGUUAACGACUUCGCAAGUGACCUCGAAGCCGUCCCUGAAACACCCAUCGCCGAUGCCGAAGGGGUACGGGAUGCUAAUACCGCCGCAUGUCUCAUUGCAAUGUGGUGACACCACGUUCGGCGACGGUGGUGCCGAUGCUGCUGCAGUCGUUGCUGCUUGCAGCAACGUCAACAACAACAACAACAGCAGAAACGCGAACAGUGGCAGCGUGGAUCCCAUCGCUUAUGCUUGCUUGAAAUUAAUGGUACCCUUCAGGCUUCCAUCAGAUUUAUAAGCCCACAGAUGGGGGAAGCGAGCUUAAUUCCUUCCAAAAUCGAGUGGCAUAGAAUAAUUGCUUGAUCGAAUACUCGUUCUGCAGCCCAAGCGAAGACUCGUCAAGGCGAAGCCAGCACACGGCAAAUACAAAGAUCCUUUUACAUAAAUUCGAUAAGACAUGAAGCUCCAAUUACUUGGUGCCAAAAGGCAAAACGAAGACUUGCCAAGAGAGUCCGUCAACGGUUGAUUUAGUCACCGACAAGGAUAGAAGCCGGAUGGGUAUGGAAGAAAAUUACCAGCGUCGAUUGCAAAACGCAGUGUGUGAGAAGAAUCACUUGGCAGACGAGACAAAGAUUUUUGUGACUUCUGAUAGGUUGAUUAUAAUGUUUCUGUGAACCAAGUUUUCCUCCUAAAACGACACUUGAAAGCCAUCUCAUAAAACUAUUUAGGAGACUCGGAUCUGAAUAUUCUUUUGCUUUUAUAAUUUCUAGACCUAUAAUCUAUUAGAAAUGUACAGUAAUAACAUUUUAUGCGUUAUAUAUUUAUGUCUUUAAUAUUUUGCAAGAGGAUUAACAGAAAAGCAAAAGCUGCGGUAUUACUAAAACAUAUUUAGUCUUUGAAUUCAACCAAUUAAACUCUUAAUACACAGUAUUAUUAUUAUUAGCAAAAAUACAAAGAAAUAUAAAAUGAUGGUUUUUGAGCAUUUUUGUAACAGUACUUUCCUGCUAUCUUUUUUUCACGGGAGUCAACCUAAAAUUGAUUGCUGACUUUUCUACAUGAAAAGUCACAUCAGCAACAUUGAUUGCUGACUUUUCCUGCUUACUGCUCACUGACUGAUAUGGACGAGAGGUGGAAUAUUUAGCUACUCAAAGAUGGCGACAUGUUACUUGCACUGUGUUUUAAUAAUUAAGGCCAAUAAAGUUUUUGAUGAUUAUUAAUUAUACGAAAUCUUAUAUAUUAUAUUAAUAAUGUUUUUAAAGAAUUUUUUAUUACAUUAAAUGGUGUAUAAGAUGCUCACAUGAAUUCGAAUCGAGAUCCAUCGAUUGUGAAACAAUACAAUAACCAUUAAAAUGUCUCGAUAGAUAUAUUGUAUUAAGUAGUUAGUCAAAUGGUUGGUUAUAUUUAAAUUCGAUCAUUCGAUGAAAAUUACUUCAAAAGAUAAACAAAAAUAGAAGUAGAGGAAGUGAAUAUAGGCCUCGAAAGAUUAAAGAGAAAGAUAUUGAAUUUAUAUAGUUCUUAUCAUCAUCAUCAUCAUUACCAUCAUCUUACAUUCUAUAUUGUUAAUUUUAAAAUGAUUAAAAGUCAAGCAAGUCACCUUCUCAAAGUUUAUAAUCGAAAAAAAAAGAGAGCUAGAAGUAAUCAAGGAAUUUGAUGAGGUCAAAUUUGAUUAUUCUAUUGAACAAGGAAUCCAUAAAUAUAAAAAAUAAAAUAUUGAGUGAUAACUAAAAAAAAGUAUAUCCAAGAGUAGAAGAAGUUAAUGUGUUAUCUAGAGAUCUUUUAUAUACUUUAUUAUUAUGAAAAGUAAUCAUCAAAUUUGAUGAGACAUUGAUGAUGACCUAUCGAAAGAUCUUUUAUAUAUCUUAUUAGUACGAAAAGUAGUCAUCAAAUUUGUUGGAAUACUGAUGAUGACCUAUCAAAAGAUCUCCUACAUAUCUCGUUACCAUGAGAAGUAGUCAUCAAAUUUAUUGGAACAUUGAUGAUGACGUAUCGAAGGAUCUCUUAUAUAUCAAUCAAAUUUGUUAAGACACAAAAAAUGAUAUAUUUUCAAUGUGAGAGUUCAUAAGAAUAUAGUGUAUGAGUAGUGUAGCUAACUAUUUUUCAAAGCAAAAAAAAAUUAUUACGAUGAUAAUAUAUUUAUAAAAAAUAAAAUAAAAUUUUAUUAUAUUAAAUGACUCACAGGAUGCUACUUAAACCUGAGACUUAUUAUUGUACAAUAAUAAGUUAACGAAUCAGAUAUUUUAAUAGAGACUACACUACUCCACUCUAUAUUGGAGCCAUCCAUGUCCUCAUUAUUUAGCUUCGUGACACAUCAAUAAUUUUUUAUUUUUGGAAUUUAUUACGAAUUCUCAGCUGCUACAAAGCAUAGUGUUAGAAUCCAUAAUAUUCUUAAUUAUCCAGAAGCAAACAGAGAAUAAAUAAGUUUCAGGAGAAGCACCAACUUAAACAUUUUUUUUGAUCCUGCUAAUAUUGUCUUUUCAACAAAGGAAGUGAUGCCAUUUUACUUGAAAGUUCAUCGUCUUCCGACUUCUAUAUCAAAUCCUAUUUUAUUCUGUAAACUAUGGUAAUUUGUACUGUAUAAGUGGGAAACGUUGAUGAUUCACCAAGCAAUCUUUGGCACUCUUCAGGAACAUGUUGCGUGGAAGAUCGUCGUUGGAGCCCUCUUAGUGUAUAUGGAGCUUCUCGGCCAAUUCUCUCAUUGUGGGCUUUUCUCUCCCUCAACACUCAAACACUCCUUUGCAAGCUUGGCAAUUUCUUGAAGGAUAUCCAAGCUCUCCUUCCCUGUGAUUUGAUCAUCCAACAUCUCUUUUGAGCUUGUUAUCUUCGUUGCUUCAAUAAAGCUUGAUGCAAGGCAUUUUCUUUAACUAUUUCGAUCAUAAUAAAUUAAAUUAUCUUCUGACUAUUUCGAAAUGGUAGACAUCACACUUUAUUGUUAAUCAUCAUUAUGAACUGAGCUUCAUCAAUAGAUAAUAGUCUCGAUGCACCAAAAUAGAAAUUAUGAUCUACGUUGAAGGAUGGGAGGAGAAGUCAACGAGUGCAAGUAGGCAAGUGCUUCUGUAGAUUCUUCAGCUAUCCAUAGACAAGUAGCCAAAGAAAUUAAUUUCUGUCAUCCGCAUGGAUAAAGUUAAAAGAAUGUUUUAUUGGGGAUAAAAUCAUAAUUUAAUAUGGAAAUCUUCACCUUCAAGUCUUAUCAACUUCUUAUGAUUUAUGAUUGAUCCGACAAAGAAUGAUCAUCUCAGUUUUCUUGUCUUUGAAGUUUUGGUGUUCAGUUUAAUUUCCCAAGCAAAAUAGUAGAGGUAAUAUAUACAUAUAGUAAUACCAUCACCUCGAAUAUUGUAUAGUAAGUAGAUUUGUUGGAGAGUAAUUGUUGGAGUUGCUUUGUCACACUUAGAUUUUGGCAUGGAAAUUGACGAGGGAAGGUGUAACUCGUCGAUCAUACACACACGUCGGUGCUUCCCACACCGGUAAGGCCGCCCGAAAGAACAUCCACGCCGCCACACGGGUGAUGCCUUCCUUGGAAAGGCCUUACCAUAUUGAUACUAUCCACAUGCUGAAAGAAUAAGGUGCAAAUCCAAAAUAUAUGAUGUAGAAAUAAUUUAGUUUAUGUAUUAUUUGAAUUUUUUAUUAAUUUAGGGAUAAUUUGCAUAUCACAUAAGUUGUCAUGAGGUAGCAUUUAUUCAAGGCAAUGAAUAUAGAAAAAAAAGGGGAAGAAAUUAAAUUCAUUAUUGAUCGAAGAUUAUAAAUCUUGAUUAAAGAUUUUAAAAUUUUAUCUAUACAAAUAUAUUUUUUUAUUAAUCAAUAAUUGUAAUUAUCUCUAUAAAUUUAAAAUAUUGAAAGAUUUUUCUAAAAAAAAGGUCAAGAAUAUUAUUUUUUAAAGAAAAUAAAAAUAUUAUAUAUUUAAUUUAAUAUAAUUAUAAUUAUUUUUAUUUCUAUAUAUUUAUUUAUUUAUUCUGAGCCCUUAAAAAGAACUGGAACAUUAUAAUAGAUAACCAAAAAUUGAUCAAUAAAUUAUGUUCUUCGCAUGUGUCAAUGUAGGAAUCGUAUUUUUUUCUUAUGGAAUGAUUUCAUCGUCCACGUGAGAAACUUAUGAAAAUAUGGGAUCUUCAUCUUCAUAGUAUUUUUCAUUAGUUAGAAUCAUUUAUCUUUUGAUUAUUAUCAUUCUCAUCCUUUUAGUCCUUCAUCAUAAAAAAUAAAAAUAUUUACUACAAUUGAGCUACCGGUAGUAUGAAUUACUACCAUAAUCUUUUCUAUUACUAUAUAAACUUAAAGAAAAAAGAAUAAAUAUUACAAGAGAUCCUGCCUCCCAUGCUGUCUUCGACAAUAGAUUUGAGCCUCCUAGUGAUUCAGGGCCCUCAUUGUCGGGCGAGAUCCAGAUCCAAAACACCCUACCACCAUUGAGGAAUGAAAGCUUCUUCUACGAUUCCUAAAGAAUUUCGCCAAAAUAUGAGGCACUGUUGUGAUGCCUCCUACUAGGGUUUCGCCCUCGCCCUAAGAUGAUUGGGGUUGAAGACGGUAUUUGAAAUCUAUAGUUUUGUGCUUGCAUUGGCUACAUCAUCCUUGUUGCCACCGAAUUGCCAAGAGAUCUCCCUCUGAGUGAGAUCGAGAGGACAAAAGAACAUAAGUAUUAAAAGAACUAUAAAGAACUAGAACAACUAAACAAAUUAAUCAUAGAGAGAGAAAGCUUAUAAAAAAACACGAUUAGAGAAUAAAUAGUAUGAAUACACAAAACAAUAAUAAUUUAAUCAAGAUGCCUUUUUAUUUUUAUUUUGUGAGCUUUGUCAUAAAUUAAUUGUAGAACUAAAGAGAUUUAAACUCAAAACCUCGUCGAAAGUUUUUACCAGCUAAUAUAGUUAGCAUGGAAGGUGUGCGAUCUGAUAAGAUAAUUAGUCUCUUAAUUUAUUUAAAUUAAAAUUAAACUAAGAUAAUUAGCUCCUUCUUAGAUGUUGGAAGAAGUCUUCUUCUCUCCUUCCUUUUGAGAGAGAUUGAGAUACUAUGAGCAUCUUAUUAUCCAAGUCUGAAUUCAUUCUUACUGAAUUCAAAUAUACUAUGAGCAUCUUAUUAUCCAAGUCUGAAUUCAAAUAUAUACACUUAAUUUUUUUAUAAAAAUAGAAAACAAAUUUCAUGACAUGAAAUGAUGCAUAUAAUAUUCACACAUGGAUCCAAGUCAGAAACCUAUCACUUGUAGGAUAAUACACUAACCAAAUACGUGUAUUUGAGUUUAAAAUCUAUCACUUGUAUAUUAAUACACUAACCAACUUACAAAUCUCAACAAAGAUUAAAAGAAUUAAUUAUAUCACUUACUCUCAUAAGUAUGUAAAUAAUUUAAAAGAAGAUGUUAUUUAUAUAACAUGUGAAAUUUUUAAGGGACUCGGUAAAACUAUAUAUCAUACUCUUUUAUUUUAUUCUAUCACAUUUUUUUAAAUUUUUUUUGAAAGAAAUUGAUCAUCUCUCUUUUAAAUAAAAAGAAAGAAUAAAAAUUCGAUACAAUGAAAUCAAAUGGCCCAUAUAAAUAGGUCUUCAAAUUAUGCAUACCAAUGGACUUGAGGUUAACUUGGGAUCAACCGUUGAAUAGUCAACGACAAGGAUAGCCACUUCAAACUAAAUCUCUUAGCCUCUUUUACCUCUACCUAAUCUCCUCCUCCCUUCUUCUUGUUAUUUCUAAAUUAGUAUUUCAUUAGCCAUCUAUUUUCACUACUUUGAUUUCAACUACCACAAAUAAUCUUACCUUAAGUAGGACUCUUAAAUCAAUGUCUAAUCUAAUCAGAAAGCUUAAGUUAAUAUUCCAUUACUUCCUUCAAACUCGAGUUUUACAUAGAAAAAGAAAUAUAAAUUACAAUAUUGAGAGUUACAAUCCAUUAUACUUUUAUUUAUCAUGUCUGUGAUAGAAGUAACAUAAGUUACAAAACAAGCAACCAAGAACAGUCUAUUGUUCUACUAGUUCGAUUUGAACAUAGAGAGAGAACCUUGUUUCUUUAUCUUCUUCAUCUUCCAGCUUUUACAUCAAAUCCCAAUUUGUUCUCUAAACUAUGGUACCCGACAGAAUCCAAGGUAGAGCUCAUGGAUGAUUCACCAAGCAAUGCUUCACAUUCCUCGGGUGCAUGGUGUGUUGAAGAGACCCGUAGGAACCCUCCUAACAUAUGCAGUUUCUCAGCCACUUCUCUCAUUGUAGGCCUUUCAUCCCCCUUCAUGUUCAAACAUUCCUUUGCAAGCUCGGCAAUUUCGUGGAUGACAUCCAUGGUUUCUUUUCCAAUGAUUUGAUCAUCCAAUAUCUCUUCAAGUCGACUAUCUUUCAUUGCUUCAAUGAAGCUGAAGGCAAGAGCUUUUCCUUGACUACUCCCAUCAUAAUAAAUUGCCUUUUUCCUUGUGAUGAGCUCCACUAAAAUUACUCCAAAGCUAUAUACAUCACUCUUUGCUGUUAGUUGACGAACUAGAAAGUAUUCCGGGUCCAAAUAACCAAGAGUUCCUUGGACCAUCGUUAUGAAUUGGGUUUCGUCAAUAGACAUCAUCCUCGAUGCACCGAAAUCUGAUACCUUUGGCACAUAGUUAUGAUCUAAAAGUAUGUUGAGCGACUUCACAUCUCCAUGAACGAUCGGUGGGGAUGCCGAUGAAUGUAAGUAAGCAAGUGCUUCUGCAGAUUCUCUGGCUAUUCGUAGACGAGUGGUCAAGGGAAUUAGUUUCCCGUCGUUGUCAUGGAUGAACUCGAAGAGGGUUCCAUUGGGGAUGAACUCAUAAAUCAACAUGGGAAUUUCCACUUCCAAGCAACAACCCAAGAGCCGUACAAUGUUCUUGUGAUUGAUCUGAGAAAGAAUAAUCAUCUCCCGUAUAAAUUCUUCACUUUGGUCGUCGGUGACUACCUUAGACCUCUUGAUGGCCACUACCCUUCCAUCGGCUAUGUUUCCUUUAUAAACGGUGCCAUGGCCUCCUCGCCCAAUUUCUCGACUCUUAUCGAAAUUAUCUGUUGCUUUCUCUAUAUCCUCUUCGGUGUAUAUUUUGACAGUAUCAAUUUGCUUUGAUCUGAUUUCUUCGUAUAAUCUCAAGCCUCCAUUUUGCUGGAAAAAUUUAUCUUUUUCUCUAAGAAGCUUCCUUCUUUGAAACGCUAAGAUUAUGCAGAAGAUACAAGUAAUGAACAAGACAAGCCCAACACAACUGCCUGCACAAAGGGAUGAGUUUCAUGUCAAUUAUUUUGCAAACUCUUCCGGAGAUCGAAUAACGAGUUUCCAAAAUAUUGUUCGGACGAAGCCUAUUAAUGAAGAUUAAAAGGAUAAGAAAUUUCAAGCUUUUUUUAAGUAGGAUGACUUAAUCGAAAUAAAAACUCGAAUCUGAAUAGAUUAUUGUUUUUCUUCUGAUUGAAGUUUUAAGAGAAGGUUUAAGCUAAUACGGAAGGAAGGAUGAGAACUUGUACCUAUAACAAUCUUCGUUGAUGUCGGAAUUCCGUGAUCUCGGACACAUGGUUCCGAUUUAGGGUCCUUGCCGCUGUGACCUUUUGGGCAUGAGCAGCUGUAGUUGCCUGGGGUGUUGUUGCACUUUCCAUGACAUGUAUACAGAUUUGGCGAGCUGCACUCGUCGAUAUCUAAGGAUUGUCAAAGAAUCACAAGGGAAAAUUGUAAGACCACAUACAACAAUCGAAAACAGGAGAGUUGGGGGAGAGAUGCAUGCUGACCUUUGCAGCCAUCCUGGAGGUAAGGAUUGCCUUGGAAACCUGUGGAGCAAUUGCAGAUAUAGCCUUGUAAACUCGGGGACUUGAAACAUUCACUGUUGGUGCUGCGGCAUGCAUAUGAAGGGUUUCUCUUGGCCUCCUCGCAGGUCUGGUUGCCGGCUACCCAGUCCAGCACGAGUGGGACGCCGUCCUUGUGCUUGUCUUCAAAGGUGCGGUUGCCGAGGUCAGACUUGUCGAAGGAGAACCUUGCCUCGUCGGCAAUGAAGGCAUAGGUGCAGGGGCUGUAGUCCUUGUAGGAAGAAAUAUUGAUGAAAUAGGCCAACCCGGUCGUAAAAUUGUCCAGCUUCUCCGGGAUGUUGGUCUGGCAGCAGCCGGUGCCAGAGCACGAUCCGCUUGUGAUGUUUGCCCCUUCGAAGCAGAAGGAGGCGCACCCAGUUCCUGAUGUAUAGUUGUCCCCGCCUAAGAGGAUGCCAACGACGUUGCAGCCCAUGGUCGUGAACCUGUUCUUGGUGCUGGAUACCCAAAAUGGUUUGUCGCCAAGGUCUAGAGAAGGCCUUUGACCAGCCACCACGCCGUCGGUACUGUUGAAACAAUCCCAGCUAAUGUAAUUCAGGAUGCGUGCUUGGCCCUGGGGCAAGAAUAUCUCCUCCACUGUAAUGUUCCCCUCGCGACCGCCCAAGAAAGCUCUGGGAGUCGCAGAGCCGUUACCGACUUCGCAAGUGACCUCGAAGCCUUCCCUGAAACACCCAUCGCCGAUGCCGAAGGGGUACGGGAUGCUAACACCGCCGCAUGUAUCAUUGCAACCUGGUGACACCACGUUCGGCGACGGUGGUGCCGAUGCUGCUGCUGCCGUCGUUGUUGCUUGGAGCAGCGUCAACAACAACAGCUUAAACGCGAACGGUGGCAGCGUGAAUCCCAUCCCUUAUGCUUGCUUGAAAUUAAUUGUACCCUUAGGCUUCCAUCAGAUUUAUAAGCCCACAGAUGGCGAAGCGAGCAUAAUUCGUCGGUCAGCUGUUGUUGCUUAGAAUAAUUGCUUGAUCGAAUACUCGUUCUGCAGCCCAUGUGAAGACUUGUCAAGGCGAAGCCAGCACAUGGCAUAUACUAGAAAAUACAGUCGCUUGGAAAGCUGGAGAUUGACUGGUACAGGCCCCGUCCAAGUCUUCUUUAAGACUUGGACGGUACAGGAGGCCUACUCGCAGUUUGACUCUGGAAUCCACACCUACUCGAAGACUUGCUUGCUUGACUAUGCUUAAUCCAAGAGACAAAUAAUUAACGCCAAAUUUCCAGUAAAAGUCCCCUCUCUCUCUCUCUCUCUCUCUCUCUCUCUCUCUCUCUCUCUAUAGUUUUAUCCCUGCUUAAUGCUCGCUGAUUGGCAUGGUCGAGAGGUGGAAUAUUUGGCUACUGAAAGAUGGCGGCGACAUGCUAUUUGUAGUGUGUUUUAAUAAUUAAGGCCAAUAAAGUUGAUGAUUAUUAUUAAUUAUGUGAAAUCCUAUGUAUUAUAUUAUGAAUUUGUUUAAAAAGAUUAUUACAUUAAACGGAGUAUAAGAUGCUCACAUGAAUUCGAAUCAAGAUCCAUCAAUUGUGAAACCAUACAGUAACCAUUAGAAUGUCUCGAUAAAUAUAUUAUUAUAUUAAGUAGUUAGUCACAAAUUUGGUUAUAGUUUGGUUCAGUCGUCCAAUGGAAACUACUCCGAAAGCCAAACAAAGAAGAAGAAAGAGAAAGACAUUGACUUUAUGUAGUUCCUAUCAUCGUCAUCAUCAUCAUCUUAGCUUCUUAAUUGCCAUUUUUUAAAUGAUCAAAAGUCAAACAAGUCACCAUCUCAAAAUUUGUAGUCAGAGAGAAAGCAAGAGAGAAGUAACCAGGAAUUUGAUGAGGUCAAAUUUGAUUAUUCUAUUGAAUAAGGAAUUCAUAAAUAUAAAAAAAAAUAAGAAAUUGAGUGAUAACUAAAAGAAGUAAAUAUAAGCGUAGAAUAAAUAAAUAGGUUAUUUGAAGGAAUUCUUAUAUCUCUCGUUAUCAAAUUUGUCACGGCGAAGUAGCAAUCAAAUUUGUUACCGUGAGAAGUAGCAAUCAAAUUUGAAGGAUCUCUUAUAAUAUCUUGUUACCGUGAGAAGUAGCAAUCAAAUUUGAAGGAUCUCUUAUAAUAUCUUGUUACCGUGAGAAGUAGCAAUCAAAUUUGUUGAGACACAAAAAUUGAUAUAUUUUCAAUGUGAGAGUUCAGGAGAAUAUAGUGUAUGACUAGUGUAGCUAACUAUUUUUCAAAGCACUUAGUGUAGACAUUUGUAAAGGCUAGCACUUAGUGUAUGAGUAGUGUAGCUAACUAUCACCUUCUUAUGAUUUAUGAUUUAUGAUUGAUCCGACAAAGAAUGAUCAUCUCAGUUAUAACCUAUGUUUUCUUGUCUUUGACGUUUUGGUGUUCUGUUUAAUUUCCCAAGCAAAAUAGUAGAGGUAAUAUAUACAUAUAGUAAUACCAUCAUCGAUGACCUCGAAUAUUGUAUAGGAAGUAGAUUUGUUGGAGUUGCUACGUCACACUUAGAUUUUGGCAUGAAAAUUGACGAGAGAAAGUGUAACUCGUCAAUCAUACACACACGUCGGUGCUUCCCACACCGGUAAGGCCGCCCGAAAGAGCAUCCACGCCGCCACACGGGUGAUGCCUUCCUUGGAAAGGCCUUACCAUAUUGAUACUAAAAGAAUAAGGUGCAAAUCCAAAAUAUAUGAUGUAGAAAUAAUUUAGUUUAUGUAUUAUUUGAAUUUUUUUUUAUUAAUUUAGGGAUAAUUUGCAUAUCACAUAAGUUGUCAUGAGGUAGCAUUUAUUCAAGGCAAUGAAUAUAGAAAAAAAAAAUGGGAAGAAAUUAAAUUCAUUAUUGAUCGAAGAUUAUAAAUCUUGAUUAAAGAUUUUAAAUUUUUAUCUAUACAAAUAUAAUUUUUUUAUUAAUCAAUAAUUGUAAUUAUCUCUAUAAAUUUAAAAUAUUGAAAGAUUUUUCUAAAAAAAUGGUCAAGAAUAUUAUUUUUUAAAGAAAAUAAAUUAUUAUAUAUUUAAUUUAAUUUAAUUAAUUAAUUAAUUUAUUUAUUUAUUUCGAGCCCUUAAAAAGGACUAGAACAUUAUAAUAGAUAACCAGAAAUUGAUCAAUAAAUUAUGUUCUUCGCAUGUGUUAAUGUACGAGAUCAUAUUUGAUUUUCUUAUGGAAUGAUUUUAUCGUCCACAUGAGAAACUUGUGAAAAUAUAGGAUCUUCAUCUUCAUAGUGUUUUUCAUUAGUUAGAACCAUUUAUCUUUUGAUUAUUAUCAUUCUCAUCCUUUUAGUCAUUCAUCAUAAAAAUAUAUAUAUUUACUACAAUUGAGCUACUGACGGUAUGAAUUACUAUCAUAAUAUUUUCUAUUACUAUAUAAACUUAAAGAAAAAAGAACAAAUGUUACAAGAGAUCCUGUCUCCCGUGCUGUCUUUGACUAUAGAUUUGAACCUCCUAGCGUUUUAGGGCCCUCAUUGUCGGGCAAGAUCCGGAUUCAAGCGACCUUGCCACCGUUGAGGAAUGAAAGCUUCUUCUACGAUUCCUAAAGAAUUUUGCCAAAAUAUGAGGCACUGUUGUGAUGCCUCCUACUAGGGUUUUGCCUUCACCCUAAGACGAUUAGGGUUGAAGACGGUAUGUGAAAUAAAUGGCUUUGCGCUUGCAUUAGCUACAUCAUCCUUGUUGCCACCGAAUCACCGAGAGAUCUCCCUUCGAGUGAGAGUGAGAGGGCAAAAGAACAUAAAUAUUAAAAGAACUAUAAAGAACUAGAACAACUAAAUAAAUUAAUCAUAGAGAGAGAGCUUAUAAAAAAACACGAUUAGAGAAUGAAUAGUAUGAAUACACAAAAUAAUAAUAAUUUAAUCAAGAUACCUUUUCAUUUUUAAUUUUGUCAGCUUUGACAUAAAUUAGUUGUAGAAUUAAAGAGAUCCAAGGAAUAUUUUUGUAAGGAUAAGUGACGAAAUGACAUUUAAACUCAUAACCUCAUUGAAAGUUUUUACUAGCUAAUAUAGUUAGCAUGGAAGGAGUGCCACCUGAUAAGAUAAUUAGUCUCUUAAUUUAUUUAAAUUAAAAUUAAACUAAGAUAAUUAGUCCCUUCCUAAUGUUGGAAGAUGUCUUCUUCUCUUCUUUUCGAGAGAGAUUGAGAUACUACGAGCAUCUUGUUAUCCCUUUUAAGUCUGAAUUCAAAUAUAAAUUGAAUCUCAAUUUGAUUGAAAAUUUUAAUCAAACAAUAUUUGAUUCAAAUUAAAAAAGGAGAUAAAAAUUUUUAAAGGCGUGAAUAAUGAUUCUCUAUCCUUCAUGCAUGUUUGAUAAAAAGAUCAUCCGAGAUAUAGGAAAGUCGACGAGGAAUAAACUUAUUCAAGACAACAAAAAAUAGGAAGGCAAUAGUACUGAGAGUCUCGAUCCACAUGUGCGCCAAUGAUGUAUUGUUAUUAACACCAAAGCUCUUAACAAAUAAAUAUAAAAUUAAGUAGAUAAAAUCCUAUAAAAAAAAUAAGUAAAAAUAAAAAAGAUAAAAUUUUAUUUUUUAAAAUAUUUAGAUAAUAGCUUUACUCAAAUUUUACAUACCCAACCUCAACCAGUUUGUCACCUCUUUAUUGACUUCCUCAAACACUUUCUUUUAAAGUAUAACAAGUUAGUUUUUUUUCGUUUUUGUCGAACUAUAAUAGUUAUUACGUCUGCAAUUUCGGAUCUACUGUUCUUUCCCUAUUUUAUAAGAUCAUCACUUAUUCCAAUGAGUAUAUCAUUAGAUUCAGUCAUUUUGAUAUAAACUCUAAUUAUUUAACUGAUGGUUAUGCUAACCUUUGUAGGUUGCUUGGCUCUCCUCACACUUGGAAAUGCUUGGAAGCCAAUGCCCCCUUUUCCAGCACAUAUUGAUUCAUUAUAUAUAUAUAUAUAUAUAUAUAUAUAUAUAUAUAUAUAUAUAUAUAUAUAUAUAUAUACUUAAAAUUUUUAUAAAAAUUGAAAGCAAAUUUCAUGACAUGAAAUGAUGUAUAUAAUAUUCACACAUGGAUCUAAGUCUGAAACCUAUCAAUACACUGACCAAUAUUACCCAUAUGGAUUUAAGUUUAAAAUCUAUUACUUGUAUAAUAAUGCACUAACCAACUCGCAAAUCUCAAUAAAGAUUAAAAGAAUUAAUUAGAUCGCUGGCUCUCGUAAGUAUGUAAAUAAUUUAAAAGAAUAUGUUAUUUAUAUAACAUGUGAAAUUUUUAUGGGACUCGAUAAAACUAUAGAUCAUACUUUUUUAUUUUAUUCUAUCAUUUUUUUAAUUUUUUUCUGAAAGAAAUUGGUCAUCCAUCUUUUUAAAUAAAAAGAAAGAAUAAGAAACUUGAUCCAAUCAAAUCAAAUGGGCAAUUGAGAUUGAAAGCACAAGCGAGAUGUAUGGUUUUUUUUAGGACCUUCGCUACCAUAUAAAUAUUACAAAAUUAUUAUUAUAGUAAAAUAAUUUUUUUUCUCUUUGUAUAUUAAAAUAAGUUUUUCAUCAAAAUAUUAACCAUAAAAGUAUAAACAGUAGAAUAAUAAAUCAAUCACAAAAUGAGAUACUGAAUAUAAUAAAUUUAAAAUAAAUCUUCUUCAAAAUUUUUAGAAUAUUAUAAUAACAUCAAGAACACAUAUCUCAGCUCAAUAUUAACAUAUCAUCAUCACCAUAGAUGGAUUUAAUGAAAAAAAAAAAUUUAGAUUUCACAAAGCGGAUAUAAUAGGAAAGUAUUUUAGAGAGAAUAAACUAUAUAUCGGUAUCAUUAAGAUUAUAAAGCUUAUUGUAAAAAUUCUUCACCUAAAAUUUAGGUCAAAAUGAACGAAGUUUAGUCGUUCCAUCGAGCAAAAGCUUCCAAACCUUAACUUUCGUACUCUUUUUCUUUGUUCUUUCUUUUCUGUGUCCCUGCAGUUUCACCACAUGCACUUAUUCACACACCACUAUCUUCCUACGUCUCCGCUUUUUUUUUUUUUUUUUAAUACAUCAGACUUGGGCUCAAUGCCCAAAUCAAUCGGGCCAAGCCUACCCAUGGGCUGUACCUAAUAGGUCUUUAAAUUAUGCAUACCAAUGGACGAGACGUUGACUUGGGAUCAACUGUUGAAUAGUCAACGAUAAGGAUAGCAACUACAACUAAUGUGAAUUUGGAACGAAAUAUAGCAGCUCGUGGAGGGCAUUUUCUUUUUUCCGGUUUAGAUUUGUGAUUUUUCUUUUUGCCAUAAGGAAUCAUUUUGGAUAUGCAUGGGAUGUAUGUAAGCUUCUUGUUGUUUUAGUCUUGCGCAUACACAUGCCUUUGAAUUAUUUGGCAGAGAGACUUAGGUUGACUUGUAUCUAAUUUUUGUUAAAUAUCAAAACUUGUAAUUUAACGAACCCUAAAUCUCUUAAGCCUCUUUUACCUCUACCUUAUCUCCUCCUCCCUUCUUCUUCUUCUUAUUUCUAAAUUAGUAUUUCAUUAGCCAUCUAUUUCCACUACUUUGAUUUCAACUACCAGUUUUACAUAGAAAAAGAAAUAUAAAUUACAAUAAUGAGAGUUACAAUUCAUUAUACAUUUAUUUAUCAUUCCUGUAAUAGAAGUAACAUAAGUUACAAAACAAGCAACCAAUAAUAUUCUGUUCUGCUAAUUCGAUUUUUACAUAGAAAGAGAACCUAGUUUCUUUAUCUUCUUCAUCUUCCCGCUUUUACAUCAAAUCCCAAUUUGUUCUCUGAACUGUGGUACCCGACAGAAUCCAAGGUACAGCUCAUAGAUGAUUCACCAAGCAAUGCUUCACGUUCCUCGGGUGCAUGGUACGUUGAAGAGACCUGUAGGAACCCUCCUAAUAUAUGCAGUUUCUCAGUCACUUCUCUCAUUGUAGGCCUUUCAUCCCCGUUCAUGUUCAAACAUUCCUUUGCAAGCUCGGCAAUUUCAUGGAUGACAUCCAUGUUUUCUUUUCCCAUGAUUUGAUCAUCCAAUAUCUCUUCAAGUCGGCUAUCUUUCAUUGCUUCGAUGAAGCUUGAGGCAAGAGCUUUUCCUUGACUACUCCCAUCAUAAUAAAUUGCCUUUUUUCUUGUGAUGAGUUCCACUAUAACUACUCCAAAGCUAUAGACAUCACUCUUUGCUGUCAGUUGACGGACUAGCAAGUACUCUGGGUCCAAAUAACCAAGAGUUCCCUGAACCAUCGUUAUGAAUUGGGUUUCAUCCAAAGACACCAUCCUCGAUGCACCAAAAUCCGAUACCUUUGACACAUAAUUAUGAUCUAGAAGUAUGUUGAGUGACUUCACAUCUCCAUGAACGAUCGGAGGGGAUGCCGAUGAAUGCAAGUAAGUGAGUGCUUCAGCAGAUUCUCUAGCUAUUCGUAGACGAGUAGUCAAGGGAAUUAGUGUCCCGUCGUUACCAUGGAUGAAGUCGAAGAGGGUUCCAUUGGGGAUGAACUCAUAAACCAACAUGGGAAUUUCUACUUCCAAGCAACAACCCAAGAGCCUUACAAUGUUCUUGUGAUUGAUCUGAGAAAGAAUAAUCAUCUCCCGUACGAAUUCUUCACUUUGGUCCUUGGUGACUAUCUUAGACCUCUUGAUGGCCACUUCCCUGCCACCGUCUAUGUUUCCUUUAUAAACAGUGCCAUGGCCUCCUUGGCCAAGUUCUCGACUCUUAUUGAAAUUAUCUGUUGCCUUCUCUAGAUCCUCUUUGGUGUAUAUUUUGACAGUAUCAAUUUGCUUUGAUCUGAUUUCUUCGUAUAACCUUAAGCCUCCAUUUUGCUGGAAGAAUUUAUCUUUUUCUUUGAGAAGCUUCCUUCUUUGAAAUGCUAAGAUUAUGCAGAAGAUGCAAGUGAUGAACGAGACAAACCCAACACAAAUGCCUGCACAAAGGGAUCAGUUUCAUGUCAAUUAUUUUACAAACUCUUCCGGAGAUCGAAUUACGAGUUUUCAAAAUAGAAGAUUGUUACCGACUAUUAAUGAAGAUUAAAAGGAUAAAAAAAAUUCAAGCUUUGUUUAAGUAGAACGGCUUAUUCGAAAUAAAAACUUGAAUCCGAAUACAUUAUUUUUCCUAUUGAUUGAAGUUUUAAGAGAAGGUUUAAACUAAUACGGAAGGAAGGAAGGAUGAGAACUUGUACCUAUAACAAUCUUCGUUGAUGUCGGAAUUCCGUGAUCUCGGACACAUGGUUCCGAUUUAGGGUCCUUGCUGCUUUGACCUUUUGGGCAUGAGCAGCUGUAGUUGCCUGCUGUGUUGCUGCACGUUCCAUGACAUGUAUAGAGAUUUGGCGAGCUGCACUCGUCGAUAUCUAAGGAUUGUCAAAGAAUCACGAGGGAAAAUUGUAAGACCACAUACAACAAUCGAAAAUAGGAGAGUUGGGGGAGAGAUGCAUGCUGACCUUUGCAGCCAUCCUGGAGGUAAGGAUUGCCUUGGAAACCUGUGGAGCAAUUGCAGAUAUAGCCAGGUGGACUGGUGGAGUCGAUACAGUCACUGUUGCCGCAUGCAUAUGAAGAAAGGUUUCUCUUAGCCUCCUCGCAGAUCUGGUUGCCGGCUACCCAGUCCAGCACGAGUGGGACGCCGUCCUUGUACUUGUCUCCAAAGGUGUGGUUGCCGAGGUCAGACUUGUUGAAGGAGAACCAGUCCUGCUCGGCAAUGAAGGCAUAGGUGCAGGGGCUGUAGUCCUUGUAGGUAGUAAGAUUGACGAAAUAGGCCAACCGGGUCGUGAAAUUGUCCAGCUUCUCCGGGAUGGUGGUCUGGCAGCAGCCGGUGCCAGAGCACGAUCCGCUUGCGAUGCUUGCCCCUUCGAGGCAGAAGGAGGCGCACCCGGUUCCUAAUGUAUAGUUGUCCCCGCCAAAGAGGUAGCCAAGGACGUUGCAGCCCAUGGUCGUGAACCUGUUCUUGGUGCUGGAUACCCAAAAUGGUUUGUCGCCAAGGGCUAGAGAAGGUUCUUCACCAGCCACCCAGUAGUCGGUACUGUUGAAACAAUCCCAGCUAAUGUAAUUCAGGAUGCGUGCUUGGCCCUGGGGCAAGAUUAUCUCCUCAAUUGUAAUGUUCCUCUCGCGGCCGCCCAAGAAAGCUCUGGGAGUCGCAGAGCCGUUAACGACUUCGCAAGUGACCUCGAAGCCUUCCCUGAAACACCCAUCGCCGAUGCCGAAGGGGUACGGGAUGCUAACACCGCCGCAUGUAUCAUUGCAACCUGGUGACACCACGUUCGGCGACGGUGGUGCCGAUGCUGCUGCAGUCGUUGUUGCUUGGAGCAGCGUCAACAACAGCAGCUUAAACGCGAUCGGUGGCAGCGUGGAUCCCAUCGCUUAUGCUUGCUUGAAAUUAAUGGUACCCUUAGGCUUCCAUCAGAUUUAUAAGCCCACAGAUGGAAAAGCGAGCAUAAUUCCUCGUUCAACUGUUGUUGCUUAGAAUAAUUGCUUGAUCGAAUCCUCGUUCUGCAGCCCAAGUGAAGACUUGUCAAGGCGAAGCCAUCACACGGCAAAUACAAGAAGACCCUGUCGCUUGGAAAACUGGACAGUGACUGGUACAGAUCCCGUCCAAGUCUUCUUUAAGAUUCCUGAAGGUUGGAGCUGUGAUCGGUACAGGAGUCCUCCUCGCAGUUUUGACUCUGGAAUCCACACCCAACCGUAGACUUGCUUGCUUAAUCCAAGAUACAAAUAAUUAUUGCCAAAUUUUCAGUAAAAGCCCCUCUCUCUCUCUCUCUCUCUCUCUCUCUCUCUCUCUCUCUCUCUAUAGUUUUAUCCCUGCUUAAUGCUCGCUGAUUNNNNNNNNNNNNNNNNNNNNCUCUCUCUCUCUCUCUCUCUCUCUCUCUCUCUCUCUCUCUCUAUAGUUUUAUCCCUGCUUAAUGCUCGCUGAUUGGCAUGGUCGAGAGGUGGAAUAUUUAGCUACUCAAAGAUGGCGACAUGCUAUUUGUACUGUGUUUUAACAAUUAAGGCCAAUAAAGUUGAUGAGUAUUAUUAAUUAUGUGAAAUCCUACGUAUUAUAUUAUGAAUUUGUUUAAAAGCAUUAUUACAUUAAACGGAGUAUAAGAUGCUCACAUGAAUUCGAAUCAAGAUCCAUCAAUUGUGAAACCAUGCAGUAACCAUUAGAAUGUCUCUAUAAAUAUAUUAUAUCAAGUAGUUAGUCACAAAUUUGGUUAUAGUUUGGUUCAGUCGUCUAAUGGAAACUACUCCGAAAGACAAACAAAGAAGAAGAAAGAGAAAGACAUUGAAUUUAUGUAGUUCCUAUCAUCAUCAUCAUCAUCUUAGCUUCUUAAUUGCCAUUUUUGAAAUGAUCAAAAGUCAAACAAGCCACCAUCUCAAAAUUUAUAGUCGGAGAAAAAACAAGAGAGCUAGAAGUAAGUAAGGAAUUUGACCGGGUCAAAUUUGAUUAUUCUAUUGAAUGAGGAAUCCGUAAAUAUAAAAAUAAAUGGGUUAUUUGAAGAAAUUUUUAUAUAUCUCGUUAUCACGAGAAGUAGUCAUCAAAUUUGUCACCACUAUGUCCUAUUUUGGAUAUGAGAGUUCAUGAGAAUAUAGCGUAUGAGUAUAGCCAACUAUUUUUAAAAGCGAAAGAAAUAUUAUUACGAUGAUAAUAUAUUUUUAAAAAAAUAAAAUAUAUUUUUAUUAUAUUAAAUGACAUUUCACAUGUGAAUUUGAAUCUUAGACUCAUUAUUGGAAGUUCACAUGUGAAUUUGAACACAUAGCCAACUACUUUUAAAAGCGAAAGAAAUAUUAUUACGAUGGUAACAUAUUUUUAAAAAAUAAAAUAUAUUUUUAUUAUAUUAAAUGAUAUUUCACGUGUGAAUUUGAAUCUUAGACUCAUUAUUGGAUGUUCACAUUGUGAAUUUGAAUGCGAGAUUCAUUUAUCGAGCGUUCACUUCAACCUGAAACUUAUUAUUAUAUAAUAAUACGUUAACCAAUCAGAUAUUUUUAGAGACGAUAGCAAUAUGUUUCAUACUGCUUCAUAUUGGAGCCAUUCAUAUCCUCAUUAUUCACAUCAAUAAUUUUUUAUUUUGGAAUUUAUUACGAAUGCUCUCAGCUGCUACAUAGCAUACUGUUAGAAUCCAUAAUAUUCUUAAUUAUCAAGAAGCCAACAGAGAAUAAAUAAGUUAGAGGAGAAGCACCAAAUUAAAUAUUUUUUUUAUCCUGCUAAUAUUGUCUUUUCAACAAAGGAAGUGUUGCCAUUUUACUUGGAAGUUCUUCAUCUUCCAACUUCUAUAUCAAAUCCUAUUUUGUUCUGUAAACUAUGGUGUCCUGUAGUGUGUAAGGUGGGAACCGUUGAUGAUUCACCAAGCAGUCUUUCACACUCUUCAGGAACAUGUUGCAUCGAAGAGCGUUGUUGGAGAGCCCUCUUCGCGUAUAUGGAGCUUCUCGGCCAAUUCUCUCAUUGGAGGAGGCCUUUUUAUCUCCCUCAACAUUCAACACUCCUUUGCAAGCUCGGCAAUUACUUGGAGGAUAUCCAUGCUCUCCUCCCCUGUGAUUCGAUCAUCCAACAUCUCAUCAAGCUUGUUAUCUUUUAAAAUUCACAACUUGUGUUCAGCCAGUCGACAAGCUUCAAAAUCGUGAUUCUUUCAAGAAGAUCAAUGGAAUCCAUAACAUUAUGAGGACAAAAAGAAUAGAACUUCUGGAUUCGAAACUGGUCCGGAUUUGACUCUGGAAUCAUUUCAAAAAUAUGCAGAUGACUUCAAGGAGCAGUACUACUUUCACACAAUUGCAGACUUUGAUGUAAUAUCUGGUCAACAGGAACCAUCAGUAGAGAAUAUUGAUGGUGAAUAUUGGCGGAUAGUAGAGAAGCCAACUGAGGAGAUUGAGGUGCUAUUCUAGAUCACACAAACCGUAACGAAUCUAGUUGUGCACUAGUGUUUCUGUUGAUUAUAGUAUUAUUAGAUGCAUUUCAUACUUCGCAUAAAAUUGCAAAAAUAUCUGGACUUGUCUCUUCUUCCAAUUCGAAGAACAACCAGACUUGCUUCACAAUCUUGUAAUAGCUUUUUGCCUUAUCUUUUCUCUCUGCAUGAAUGUUAUCUUGGGAAGAUGAUGUUUUCUAGCUUAUUUUCUUUCAGAAAUUCAACUGGAAAGUAUUCAGCAUGUCUGAUGUUUACUGGUGUGUUCAGAGGCCCAGAAGAGUUUGUUCUCACUUUCCCUCGAGCUUAUCACGCUGGUUUUAAUUGUGGAUUCAAUCGUGCAGAAGCUGUAAAUAUGGCUCCUCUUGAUUGGUUACCUCAUGGGCAGAAUGCUGUGGAACUUUAUCGUGAACAGGGACGAAAAAUAUCAAUAUCCCUUUCAACUGGAGCUGCAAGGGAAGCUGACUUGUUUUCAAGGCAGUCAGAUUGUGAUGAUAAGACAACUUCCCAUGCUCACAAGGAUAAAAUUCUUCUAGUGCCCCAGACUAAUGUGUUGUUGGCAAACGAAAAUGAUCUGUUGGCUGGCCUGCAUGUUUCUCGUAAUAGGUUAAUGAUGAUGACCAGGUAGAGGAAAACUGCAGAGAGGUUCUCUCCAAUUUAUGUGAUCAACAGUAGGUUGAAUUCCUUCCUGGAAGGGAAAGUGAAUGUGUGAGAUCUGCAGCCAGUGUAGUACCUGUUGCAAAAACCAAGUGCAGAUAUUUUGCCUGCAUAUGAAGCAUCUGAUUGUGUUACUGAACCUAUUCAUCCUCAAAUUAUCCAGAAUUAUGGAAGAGGAGAACCAAAAGAUAAAAGCCAGAAGGGACAAGCUGAGUUCAAUUCUGAGGCUAACAUUGAUAGAGGCAAUUCAUCUACUGAAAUCCAACCUUGUACACAAAGAAAUCUUGAUAUAUGUAACUAUGAGCAGAUGGGCCCUCGAUUGGAAAUGGUGGUGCAAAAGUAACUGCAAUAUUGAGGUUUUGGCAUAUGGUAUUGUGCUUUCUGGAAAGUUUGCUGUUGAUGUUGGGAACAGGAUUCUUGAUUCAUUUCAGGAAAGUUUCUGCUGGAUUUGAAAGUUACUCGGGACAUAAAUUUUUUCUUGUUAUUGUGUACUUUUGCUUUUUGUCUCAUCAUUCACCUGAUAUUUGUCUCAUUAUGCAGGAUAUAGAAGUCAAGUUAAAUACAUUAGCAUUUUAGAUCCAACACAGAUGUGUUACUGUGUAUCUGAAAUUUUGGAUGUUGGAUUACUUGGACUUCUAUUGACAGUGAGUAAUUUUGUCUCUUUGUACCUAUGUCACUGUUUAUGUCAACCAUGCAUCCAGACAUUGUACAUGAUGCUAGAUUAAGAAGCAUCAUUGUAAGUUAUUAUCACAGUAUAAGCAUGACACAUUUUAUCAGUAAGUUGAUCUUAGUAGUCCUUUUGAAUUUAUUCCUUAUCAACUAGUUCACGAUUGAAUUUAUUCGAUGUGUUUGGUGCACCCAUGAAACACAAGAUUCUUCAUUAUUGCAAUAGCAGACUUGUUAUCAUAGUAGAUUUUAGUUAGUCCAUCUUAUUUUUGUUGGAGAUCUAUUAGAAUUCUUACGAGACAAAUUAUUCGACAUGCUAUACUUGUAGUUGCAAUAUGCUCCGCCUCUCUUAAUGUAUCUAAGAACUUUGCUCGCUAAGACUAUCCGUGCAUGAAUCUAUAUAGCAAACCAAAUGCAAAUAUAAUAUCCUAUCUUGAAUGUGUAAGAUAAAUAAACUCUCUAAUUAAACUUGUAUAUUGUUGUUUUUUCAACUCUAUCAUUUAAUAUGGAGUAUUCAUUGGUUUAUAAGUCAUCAUAUAACAUUGUUUUAACAAAUCUUUAGUAUAUUUUAUACUUACUUUGUGUUUUUUCUUUUUGCCAAAAAAAAAAAGGGAAUCAUUUUGGAUAUGCAUGGGAAGCAUGUAAGCCUGCUGUUGUUUUUGUCUUGAUGCAUACACAUGACUUUAAAUUAUUUGGCAGAGAGACUUAGGUUGACUUGUAUCUAAUUUUUGUUAAAUAUCACAUCUUAUAAUUUGUCGUACCCUAAAUCUCUUAGCUUCUUUUACCUCUACCUUUAUCUCCUCCUCUCUUCUUCUUGUUAUUUCUAAAUUAGUAUUUCAUGAGCCAUCUAUUUUCAGUACUUUGAUUUCAACUACCACAAAUAAUCUUACCUUGAAUAGGACUCUUAAAUCAAUAUCUAAUCUAAUCAUAAAGCUUAAGUUAAUAUUCCAAUACUUCCUUCAAACUCGAGUUUUACAUAGAAAAAGAAAUACAGAUUACAAUACUGAGAGUUACAAUCCAUUAUAUAUUUAUUUAUCAUUCCUGUAAUAGAAGUAACACAAGUUACAAAACAAGCAACCAAGAACAGUCUGUUGUUCUACUAGUUCGAUUUGAAAAUAGAGAGAGAACCUUGUUUCUGUAUCUUCUUCAUCUUCCAGCUUUUACAUCAAAUCUCAAUUUGUUCUCUAAACUGUGGUACCCGACAGAAUCCAAGGUAGAGCUCAUAGAUGAUUCACCAAGCAAUGCUUCACAUUCCUCGGGUGCAUGGUGUGUUGAAGAGACCUGUAGGAACCCUCCUAACAUAUGCAGUUUCUCAGCCACUUCUCUCAUUGUAGGUCGUUCAUCCCCCUUGAUGUUCAAACAUUCCUUUGCAAUCUCGGCAAUUUCUUGGAUGAUGUCCAUGUUUUCUUUCCCCGUGAUUUGAUCAUCCAAUAUCUCUUCAAGUCGGCUAUCUUUCAUUGCUUCAAUGAAGCUUGAGGCAAGACCUUUUCCUU